UUUGGCAGCUGUGAACUGCCAGUGAUGUUGAAUUGUCCUGUCUGAUCUCGUUGUAUCAUCUCUUUGCUCACAGAUUGAAACUAUGAAAUCAUUAAGAUGCCUUUUGAAUUUCUGUAACAGUGUGUGUUUGGUGUUGUGAUAUAAACUUCCAACUCCCAAUUUUGUUGUGUCAUCUCUGGCCCUAUUCUGUCCAUACUAUUUGGUACAUGUCCUGGAGUUCUCUUCUUCACAUUACCCUCUUCAAGAGGAUUAUUAACCUGCUUUAUUCCUAAUAUCAAACUUCGUGUGCCUGAAGAACCUGGGAAGUGGUAAUUGGAGCCCAGCCUGUAUAUCCUGUGGCAUUUAGACUGUAAAGCAGCCAUACAUUAGUUUGGAUAUAAGAAACAGCAAGGGCAGUUUUGUCCUCUUAUAGGACAGGAAAGCCAUUUACCUAUUGGAAUGAGUCCAGAGGAGAGUUAUUAAGUUGAUUGCAGGGCUGGAACAUCUCUUGAGAA
Long non-coding RNA from Chiroxiphia lanceolata (lance-tailed manakin), 494 nucleotides. RefSeq lists it as uncharacterized. The transcript has 4 exons. The record is from RefSeq and is a predicted model, not a curated record. NCBI's taxonomy places the organism in Eukaryota, Metazoa, Chordata, Aves, Passeriformes, Pipridae.